This 253-nucleotide ribosomal RNA is filed under the name uncultured bacterium. Its description in RNAcentral is "partial 16S ribosomal RNA". It matches the Rfam family "Bacterial small subunit ribosomal RNA", at positions 524 to 776 of the family's 1533-position model. The record is from RNAcentral.
CACGUAGGGCGCAAGCGUUGUCCGGAAUUAUUGGGCGUAAAGGGCUCGUAGGCGGUUUGUCGCGUCGGGAGUGAAAACCAUGAGCUUAACUCAUGGCUUGCUUUCGAUACGGGCAGACUAGAGGCAUGCAGGGGAGAACGGAAUUCCUGGUGUAGCGGUGAAAUGCGCAGAUAUCAGGAGGAACACCGGUGGCGAAGGCGGUUCUCUGGGCAUGUCCUGACGCUGAGGAGCGAAAGUGUGGGGAGCGAACAGG